GCGCCUGAUAACUAGCCCACUAACAAGAAAAAACACCGAAAUAAAUAUUCUGAUAAGACCUGCAACAUGCACAACAAACCAUUUUCCCCCUUUAGUAUAGGAGAUAGAAAAAGACCUCGAGAGCUACAGAUAAAGUACCGCAAGGGAACGCUGAAAGAGAAAUGAAAUAAUCUAAAAAGCCCUAAAAAGCAGAGACUAAAUCUCGUACCUUUUGCAUCAUGAUUCAGCCAGAAAUAUUCAAGCAAAAAGGAUUAUAGUUUGACACCCCGAAACUAAGUGAGCUACUCCAGAGCAGCCCUUCAAGGGGGCACACCCGUCUCUGUCGCAAAAGAGUGGGAAGACUCUCGAGUAGAGGUGACAAACCUAUCGAACUUAGUUAUAGCUGGUUGCCUAGGAAAUGAAUAGAAGUUCAGCCCGGUUGUUUCUUGAACGCCCAACUACAAUGACCAAAAGAAACCACCAGAGUUAGUCAAAAGAGGUACAGCUCUUUUGAAAAAGACACAACUUUUAAAGAAGGGUAAAGAUCAAAAUGUAUAAGGCAUCUUGUAUAUGUGGGCUUGAAAGCAGCCACCCAUAAAGAAAGCGUUAAAGCUCGAAUACAACAACUGCCAAUUAUACUGAUAACUUUAUCUCAACCCUCUAUGCCUACUAGGCCUUCUCAUACAUAUAUGUGAGUGAUAAUGCUGAUAUGAGUAAUAAGAAAUAAGACUUUCUCCUAACACACGUGUACGUCGGAACGGACCCCCCACCGACUAUUAACGAACCCAACCAAAGAGGGUAUUGAAAAUAAAAUAGAUAACUAGAAAAAUUCUCAAUAAUUAACGUUAACCCCACACUGGUGUGCCUACAAGGAAAGACUAAUAGGGAGAGAAGGAACUCGGCAAACAUAAACCUCGCCUGUUUACCAAAAACAUCGCCUCUUGCAGAAACUAAGAAUAAGAGGUCCUGCCUGCCCUGUGACAAUACGUUUAACGGCCGCGGUAUCCUGACCGUGCGAAGGUAGCGCAAUCACUUGUCUCUUAAAUGGAGACCCGUAUGAAUGGCAAGACGAGGGUUUAACUGUCUCCUCUUCCUGGUCAAUGAAAUUGAUCUCCCCGUGCAGAAGCGGGGAUAAACACAUAAGACGAGAAGACCCUGUGGAGCUUUAGACACUAAAGUAGCCCCCGUUAACUUAGCCCUCAUUAAGGGACAAAACUAACUAAAUUCUACCCUAUUGUCUUUGGUUGGGGCGACCACGGGGAAAACAAAACCCCCACGAGGAACGGGAGGAACCCUCCUUUAAACAAGAACCACUAGUCGAAAGAUCAGAAUUUUCUCUGACCAUUAUGAUCCGGCAAAGCCGAUCAACGAACCGAGUUACCCCAGGGAUAACAGCGCAAUCCUCUUUCAGAGUCCAUAUCGACAAGAGGGUUUACGACCUCGAUGUUGGAUCAGGACAUCCUAAUGGUGCAGCCGCUAUUAAGGGUUCGUUUGUUCAACGAUUAAAGUCCUACGUGAUCUGAGUUCAGACCGGAGUAAUCCAGGUCAGUUUCUAUCUAUGAAAUAACCUCUUUCUAGUACGAAAGGAUUGAAAAAGGGGGGCCAAUAAUAUAAAUAUGCCCCACCCCCAAUAGCUGAUAGCAAAUAAAACAACAAAAGGGGUGUAUACUGUAUAUAUCCUAGAGAACGGUACU
This 1673-nucleotide ribosomal RNA is filed under the name Neobythites unimaculatus. RNAcentral describes it as "16S rRNA". It matches the Rfam family "Bacterial large subunit ribosomal RNA". Lineage: Eukaryota; Metazoa; Chordata; Actinopteri; Ophidiiformes; Ophidiidae. The record is from RNAcentral.